GGGACCCGCACAAGCAGUGGAGCAUGUGGUUUAAUUCGAAGAUACGCGCAGAACCUUACCAACACUUGACAUGUUCGUCGCGAGACUAAGAGAUUAGUCUUUUCAGUUUGGCUGGACGAAACACAGGUGCUGCAUGGCUGUCGUCAGCUCGUGUCGUGAGAUGUUGGGUUAAGUCCCGCAACGAGCGCAACCCCCUACUUUUAGUUGCCACCAUUUAGUUGGGCACUUUAAAAGAACUGCCAGUGAUAAGCUGGAGGAAGGUGGGGAUGACGUCAAGUCCUCAUGGCCCUUAUGUGUUGGGCUACACACGUGCUACAAUGGUACUUACAAUGGGAUGCAAAGAGGCGACUCUAAGCCAAUCCCUAAAAUGUACCUCAGUUCGGAUUGUACUCUGUAACUCGAGUGCAUGAAGCUGGAAUUGCUAGUAAUCG
RNAcentral lists this ribosomal RNA (431 nucleotides) under uncultured bacterium. Its description in RNAcentral is "bacterial SSU rRNA". It matches the Rfam family "Bacterial small subunit ribosomal RNA", at positions 916 to 1344 of the family's 1533-position model. The record is from RNAcentral.